RNAcentral lists this ribosomal RNA (460 nucleotides) under uncultured bacterium. RNAcentral describes it as "partial 16S ribosomal RNA". It matches the Rfam family "Bacterial small subunit ribosomal RNA", at positions 338 to 795 of the family's 1533-position model. The record is from RNAcentral.
CCUACGGGGGGCAGCAGUGAGGAAUAUUGGUCAAUGGACGCGAGUCUGAACCAGCCAAGCAGCGUGCAGGAAGACGGCUCUAUGAGUUGUAAACUGCUUUUGUACGGGAGUAAACGCAGACACGCGUACCUUUCUGAAAGUAUCUUACGAAUAAGGAUCGGCUAACUCCGUGCCAGCAGCCGCGGUAAUACGGAGGAUUCGAGCGUUAUCCGGAUUUAUUGGGUUUAAAGGGUGCGUAGGCGGUCGGAUAAGUUAGGUGUGAAAGCCCGAGGCUCAACUUCGGAAUUGCCUCUGAUACUGGUCGGCUAGAGAGUAGUUGCGGUAGGCGGAAUGUAUGGUGUAGCGGUGAAAUGCUUAGAGAUCACACAGAACACCGAUUGCGAAGGCAGCCUACCAAGCUACCUCUGACGUUGAGGCACGAAAGCGUGGGGAGCAAACAGGAUUAGAUACCCCAGUAGUC